GUGGGGUUGUGGCUUAGUGGUAGAGUGCUUGCCUAGCAUGAGUGAGGCACUGGGUUCGAUUCUCAGCACCACA
Molecule: transfer RNA, 73 nt
Filed under: Marmota monax (woodchuck)
Lineage: Eukaryota; Metazoa; Chordata; Mammalia; Rodentia; Sciuridae
Description: tRNA.Ala
Source: RNAcentral